RNAcentral lists this ribosomal RNA (1101 nucleotides) under uncultured bacterium. Its description in RNAcentral is "bacterial SSU rRNA". It matches the Rfam family "Bacterial small subunit ribosomal RNA", at positions 8 to 1101 of the family's 1533-position model. The record is from RNAcentral.
AGAGUUUGAUCCUGGCUCAGGAUGAACGCUGGCGGCAUGCCUAAUACAUGCAAGUCGAACGAGAGGAAGGAAAGCUUGCUUUUCUGAAUCUAGUGGCGAACGGGUGAGUAACACGUAGGUAACCUGCCCAUGUGCCCGGGAUAACUUCUGGAAACGGAUGCUAAAACCGGAUAGGUAGCAGACAAGCAUUUGACUGCUAUUAAAGUGGCUAAGGCCAUGAACAUGGAUGGACCUGCGGUGCAUUAGCUAGUUGGUGAGGUAACGGCCCACCAAGGCGACGAUGCAUAGCCGGCCUGAGAGGGCGGACGGCCACAUUGGGACUGAGACACGGCCCAAACUCCUACGGGAGGCAGCAGUAGGGAAUUUUCGUCAAUGGGGGGAACCCUGAACGAGCAAUGCCGCGUGAGUGAAGAAGGUCUUCGGAUCGUAAAGCUCUGUUGUAAGAGAAAAACGACAUUCAUAGGGAAUGAUGAGUGAGUGAUGGUAUCUUACCAGAAAGUCACGGCUAACUACGUGCCAGCAGCCGCGGUAAUACGUAGGUGGCGAGCGUUAUCCGGAAUGAUUGGGCGUAAAGGGUGCGUAGGUGGCAGAACAAGUCUGGAGUAAAAGGUAUGGGCUCAACCCGUACUGGCUCUGGAAACUGUUCAGCUAGAGAACAGAAGAGGACGGCGGAACUCCAUGUGUAGCGGUAAAAUGCGUAGAUAUAUGGAAGAACACCGGUGGCGAAGGCGGCCGUCUGGUCUGUUGCUGACACUGAAGCACGAAAGCGUGGGGAGCAAAUAGGAUUAGAUACCCUAGUAGUCCACGCCGUAAACGAUGAGAACUAGGUGUUGGGGGAAUAACUCAGUGCCGCAGUUAACGCAAUAAGUUCUCCGCCUGGGGAGUAUGCACGCAAGUGUGAAACUCAAAGGAAUUGACGGGGGCCCGCACAAGCGGUGGAGUAUGUGGUUUAAUUCGAAGCAACGCGAAGAACCUUACCAGGCCUUGACAUCCCUUGCAGAGGUAUAGAGAUAUAUCCGAGGUUAUCAAGGAGACAGGUGCUGCAUGGUUGUUGUCAGCUCGUGUCGUGAGAUGUGGGGUUAAGUCCCGCAACGAGCGCAA